RNAcentral lists this ribosomal RNA (415 nucleotides) under uncultured bacterium. RNAcentral's name for it is "bacterial SSU rRNA". It matches the Rfam family "Bacterial small subunit ribosomal RNA", at positions 358 to 773 of the family's 1533-position model. The record is from RNAcentral.
GGAAUAUUGCGCAAUGGGCGAAAGCCUGACGCAGCGACGCCGCGUGGGGGAUGACGGUCUUCGGAUUGUAAACCCCUUUCGGGAGGGAAGAUGGGAUGGGGUAACCCAUUCGGACGGUACCUCCAGAAGCAGCCACGGCUAACUUCGUGCCAGCAGCCGCGGUAAUACGAAGGUGGCAAGCGUUGUUCGGAUUUACUGGGCGUACAGGGAGCGUAGGCGGUUGUGUAAGCCCUCCGUGAAAUCUCCAGGCUUAACCGGGAAAGUGCAGAGGGGACUGCUCAGCUAGAGGAUGGGAGAGGAGCGCGGAAUUCCCGGUGUAGCGGUGAAAUGCGUAGAUAUCGGGAAGAAGGCCGGUGGCGAAGGCGGCGCUCUGGAACGUACCUGACGCUGAGGUGCGAAAGCGUGGGGAGCAAAC